RNAcentral lists this ribosomal RNA (253 nucleotides) under uncultured bacterium. RNAcentral describes it as "partial 16S ribosomal RNA". It matches the Rfam family "Bacterial small subunit ribosomal RNA", at positions 524 to 776 of the family's 1533-position model. The record is from RNAcentral.
UACGGAGGGUGCGAGCGUUAAUCGGAAUAACUGGGCGUAAAGGGCACGCAGGCGGGCUUUUAAGUGUGAUGUUAAAUCCCCGGGCUUAACCUGGGAAUAGCAUUUGAGACUGGGAGUCUAGAGUACUUUAGGGAGGGGUAGAAUUCCACGUGUAGCGGUGAAAUGCGUAGAGAUGUGGAGGAAUACCGAAGGCGAAGGCAGCCGCUUGGGAAUGUACUGACGCUCAUGUGCGAAAGCUUGGGGAUCAAACAGG